Long non-coding RNA from Populus euphratica (Euphrates poplar), 131 nucleotides. RefSeq lists it as uncharacterized. Lineage: Eukaryota; Viridiplantae; Streptophyta; Magnoliopsida; Malpighiales; Salicaceae. The transcript has 2 exons. The record is from RefSeq and is a predicted model, not a curated record.
UAAUUGGUCGUCACAGUGCUGUCCAAUGUUUUCUGCAUGCUGCUUGCUAAGUAAAAACAACAAUCUCCUGGACUGUUGUUCAAAUCUGAGAGUACUAGCUACAGGCUUUGUUUGGGCUCGAGAGAGUGUGA